This 253-nucleotide ribosomal RNA is filed under the name uncultured bacterium. RNAcentral's name for it is "partial 16S ribosomal RNA". It matches the Rfam family "Bacterial small subunit ribosomal RNA", at positions 524 to 776 of the family's 1533-position model. The record is from RNAcentral.
UACGGAGGGGGCUAGCGUUGUUCGGAAUUACUGGGCGUAAAGCGCGCGUAGGCGGACCUGCAAGUCGGGGGUGAAAGCCCGAGGCUCAACCUCGGAACUGCCUUCGAUACUGCGGGUCUCGAGUCCGGGAGAGGUGAGUGGAAUUCCUAGUGUAGAGGUGAAAUUCGUAGAUAUUAGGAAGAACACCAGCGGCGAAGGCGGCUCACUGGCCCGGUACUGACGCUGAGGCGCGAAAGCUAGGGGAGCAAACGGG